RNAcentral lists this ribosomal RNA (428 nucleotides) under uncultured soil bacterium. Its description in RNAcentral is "bacterial SSU rRNA". It matches the Rfam family "Bacterial small subunit ribosomal RNA", at positions 26 to 445 of the family's 1533-position model. The record is from RNAcentral.
AGAGUGAACGCUGGCGGUAGGCCUAACACAUGCAAGUCGAACGGCAGCACAGUAGGAGCUUGCUCUUACGGGUGGCGAGUGGCGGACGGGUGAGGAAUACAUCGGAAUCUACCUUUUGGUGGGGGAUAACGUAGGGAAACUUACGCUAAUACCGCAUACGCCCUUCGGGGGAAAGCCGGGGACCAGCAAUGGCCUGGCGCUGAUAGAUGAGCCGAUGUCGGAUUAGCUAGUUGGUGAGGUAAUGGCUCACCAAGGCGACGAUCCGUAGCUGGUCUGAGAGGAUGAUCAGCCACACUGGAACUGAGACACGGUCCAGACUCCUACGGGAGCAGCAGUGGGGAAUAGUUGGACAAGUGGGCGCAAGCCUGAUCCAGCCAGUACCGCGUAGGUGAAGAAGGCCGUUCGGUUGUAAACGUCCCGUUUUAGUA